AUCAUUUACUGAGUUUACGCUCUACAACCCUUUGUGAACAUACCUAUAACUGUUGCUUCGGCGGGUAGGGUCUCCGUGACCCUCCCGGCCUCCCGCCCCCGGGCGGGUCGGCGCCCGCCGGAGGAUAACCAAACUCUGAUUUAACGACGUUUCUUCUGAGUGGUACAAGCAAAUAAUCAAAACUUUUAACAACGGAUCUCUUGGUUCUGGCAUCGAUGAAGAACGCAGCGAAAUGCGAUAAGUAAUGUGAAUUGCAGAAUUCAGUGAAUCAUCGAAUCUUUGAACGCACAUUGCGCCCGCCAGCAUUCUGGCGGGCAUGCCUGUUCGAGCGUCAUUUCAACCCUCAAGCUCUGCUUGGUGUUGGGGCCCUACAGCUGAUGUAGGCCCUCAAAGGUAGUGGCGGACCCUCCCGGAGCCUCCUUUGCGUAGUAACUUUACGUCUCGCACUGGGAUCCGGAGGGACUCUUGCCGUAAAACCCCCCAAUUUUCCAAAGGUUGACCUCGGAUCAGGUAGGAAUACCCGCUGAACUUAAGCAUAUCAAUAAGCGGAGGAAAAGAAACCAACAGGGAUUGCCUCAGUAACGGCGAGUGAAGCGGCAACAGCUCAAAUUUGAAAUCUGGCCCUAGGCCCGAGUUGUAAUUUGCAGAGGAUGCUUUUGGUGCGGUGCCUUCCAAGUUCCCUAGAACGGGACGCCAGAGAGGGUGAGAGCCCCGUACAGUUGGACACCAAGCCUUUGUAAAGCUCCUUCGACGAGUCGAGUAGUUUGGGAAUGCUGCUCAAAAUGGGAGGUAUAUUUCUUCUAAAGCUAAAUACCGGCCAGAGACCGAUAGCGCACAAGUAGAGUGAUCGAAAGAUGAAAAGCACUUUGAAAAGAGGGUUAAACAGCACGUGAAAUUGUUAAAAGGGAAGCGCUUGUGACCAGACUUGCGUCCGGUGAAUCACCCAGCUCUCGCGGCUGGGGCACUUCGCCGGCUCAGGCCAGCAUCAGCUCGCUGUCGGGGACAAAAGCUUCAGGAACGUAGCUCUCUUCGGGGAGUGUUAUAGCCUGUUGCAUAAUACCCUUCGGCGGGCUGA
This 1075-nucleotide ribosomal RNA is filed under the name fungal endophyte. RNAcentral's name for it is "eukaryotic LSU rRNA". The stretch from base 497 to 1075 matches the Rfam family "Eukaryotic large subunit ribosomal RNA", at positions 1 to 591 of the family's 3401-position model. The record is from RNAcentral. Lineage: Eukaryota; Fungi.